GGGGGCGGCGCCCUCUAUUGGCCCGCCGCCACUGGGAAACGGUCUGAUGAAGGCCAAGGGAGGAGUCGUGGGGACCAAUCUGAGGCCAUUCUUGGACAAACUGAGUCAGGUCCAAGGGCUGUAUGAGGCAGAGCAGAGGGGGAAAGAGAGGGCAAGGACAUGAAGAAAGGAUGCUCCUCGGUUGUACACCGCUCUGCAUUCAUGGAGCUGUGACUGUUCCUUCCUGAGGGUGCAGCACGGGGAAGGUACGCCGGGUCACCUCACUUUCCUCUCUCAACCAAUAACACAACAUAUUCUGACUGUCAAUCCCCAACAAACAGCCACCCUCCUCAGAGUCUUUUUGUGCCACCCAGACUGACAGUUUGAACGCACGCACAAACCCUAACCGUCCCAUAUCAGCAAACCACAGAGCCACUAACACCCACGUUGUUCUUUUAUUUUCUGACAAAUGUCUGUCUUUACUCUUCUGUUCUGUACACAUUCUUUCUGUCUUUGUCCUGUUGUUCUGUAUUUUGUUUCUUGUGUUAAAAUAAUAAAAGAAAACUCAAGAACAUCCUCAGAAUUUA
Long non-coding RNA from Dicentrarchus labrax (European seabass), 566 nucleotides. RefSeq lists it as uncharacterized. The record is from RefSeq and is a predicted model, not a curated record. The transcript has 3 exons. Lineage: Eukaryota; Metazoa; Chordata; Actinopteri; Moronidae.